CACUCGCGUUAGGGAUAAUAGUGGAAAGCCCACAGCCCGACGCAGGAGGUGCGAGGACUUGUAGCGAAUAGCCCGACUUUUU
This 82-nucleotide unclassified non-coding RNA is filed under the name Algibacter pectinivorans. Its description in RNAcentral is "Flavo-1 RNA". The record is from RNAcentral. Lineage: Bacteria; Pseudomonadati; Bacteroidota; Flavobacteriia; Flavobacteriales; Flavobacteriaceae.